RNAcentral lists this ribosomal RNA (253 nucleotides) under uncultured bacterium. RNAcentral's name for it is "partial 16S ribosomal RNA". It matches the Rfam family "Bacterial small subunit ribosomal RNA", at positions 524 to 776 of the family's 1533-position model. The record is from RNAcentral.
UACGUAGGGGGCGAGCGUUGUCCGAAUUUACUGGGCGUAAAGCGCGCGUAGGCGGGGGGUUAAGUGAGAGGUGAAAGGCUGGGGCUCAACCUCAGUAGUGCCUCUCAUACUGGCCUUCUUGAGGGCGGUAGGGAGAAGUGGAAUGGCUGGUGUAGCGGUGAAAUGCGUAGAUAUCAGAAGGAACACCUGUGGCGAAAGCGGCUCACUGGACCAUUACUGACGCUGAUGUACGAAAGCUAGGGGAGCAAACAGG